AGGAUAAACGCUGGCGGCGUGCUUAACACAUGCAAGUCGAACGGAGUGGUUCUCCCGAGGAUUGACGGUGCUUGCACCUGAUUGACUCAUUGAAUCACUUAGUGGCGGACGGGUGAGUAACGCGUGGGUAACCUGCCUCACACUGGGGGAUAGCAGUUGGAAACGACUGAUAAUACCGCAUAAGCGCACAGUACCGCAUGGUACAGUGUGAAAAACUCCGGUGGUGUGAGAUGGACCCGCGUCUGAUUAGCUAGUUGGUGAGGUAACGGCCCACCAAGGCGACGAUCAGUAGCCGGCCUGAGAGGGUGUACGGCCACAUUGGGACUGAGACACGGCCCAAACUCCUACGGGAGGCAGCAGUGGGGAAUAUUGGACAAUGGGGGCAACCCUGAUCCAGCCGACGCCGCGUGAGCGAAGAAGUAUUUCGGUAUGUAAAGCUCUAUCAGCAGGGAAGAUAAUGACGGUACCUGACUAAGAAGCACCGGCUAAAUACGUGCCAGCCGCCGC
Molecule: ribosomal RNA, 507 nt
Filed under: uncultured bacterium
Lineage: Bacteria
Description: bacterial SSU rRNA
Rfam family: Bacterial small subunit ribosomal RNA
Source: RNAcentral